Molecule: ribosomal RNA, 253 nt
Filed under: uncultured bacterium
Lineage: Bacteria
Description: partial 16S ribosomal RNA
Rfam family: Bacterial small subunit ribosomal RNA
Source: RNAcentral
UACAGAGGGAGCAAGCGUUGUUCGGAAUUACUGGGCGUAAAGGGCGCGUAGGCGGUCUUGUAAGUCCUGAGUGAAAUCCCUCGGCUCAACUGGGGAACUGCACGGGAAACUGCUUGGCUUGAGUUCGGGAGAGAGAAUCGGAAUUCCGGGUGUAGCGGUGAAAUGCGCAGAUAUCCGGAGGAACACCGGUGGCGAAGGCGGCUUCCUGGACCGAAACUGACGCUGAGGCGCGAAAGCUAGGGGAGCAAACGUG